GCUGGCGGCAAGCCCUCAACAANCGAAUCUAGGGGGUGUAGCAAUACAUCACCGGCGGACGGGUGCGAUACCCGCGGGAAUAUACAAAUCGGUACGGAACAACUGAGGGAAACUUCAGCUAAUACCGUAUACGUCCUAACGGAGAAAGAUUUAUCGCCGAAGGAUUAGCCCGCGCUCGAUUAGCUAGUUGGUGAGGUAAUGGCUCACCAAGGCUACGAUCGAUAGCUGUUCUGAGAGGAAGAUCAGCCACACUGGGACUGAGACACGGCCCAUAUUCCUACGGGAGGCAGCAGUGGG
This 297-nucleotide ribosomal RNA is filed under the name uncultured Alphaproteobacteria bacterium. Its description in RNAcentral is "partial 16S ribosomal RNA". It matches the Rfam family "Bacterial small subunit ribosomal RNA", at positions 35 to 358 of the family's 1533-position model. The record is from RNAcentral. Lineage: Bacteria; Pseudomonadati; Pseudomonadota; Alphaproteobacteria.